UAUGAAUCCUUAAGACGGGAAAGGCUCUA
RNAcentral lists this non-coding RNA (29 nucleotides) under Rattus norvegicus (Norway rat). The record is from RNAcentral. Lineage: Eukaryota; Metazoa; Chordata; Mammalia; Rodentia; Muridae.